GGUCAUGAGCGCCAGCGUCAAGCCCCGGCUCGCUGGCCGGCAACCCUCCAACCGCGGUGGGGUGCCCCGGGUGAUGACCAGGUUGAGUAGCUGCAACGGGCUACACGGCAAGCGCGGGUC
RNAcentral lists this non-coding RNA (120 nucleotides) under Mycolicibacterium thermoresistibile. RNAcentral describes it as "Mycobacterium thermoresistibile SAM-IV sequence". It matches the Rfam family "SAM (S-adenosyl methionine) riboswitch aptamer". Rfam says of the family: SAM-IV is a mRNA element that regulates gene expression via direct sensing of S-adenosylmethionine (SAM or AdoMet). Lineage: Bacteria; Bacillati; Actinomycetota; Actinomycetes; Mycobacteriales; Mycobacteriaceae. RNAcentral also lists the same sequence under 1 other name. The record is from RNAcentral.